AACCUUCAGCAACGGAUCUCUUGGCUCUCGCAUCGAUGAAGAACGCAGCGAAAUGCGAUAAGUAAUGUGAAUUGCAGAAUUCAGUGAAUCAUCGAAUCUUUGAACGCACCUUGCGCUCCUUGGUAUUCCGAGGAGCAUGCCUGUUUGAGUGUCAUUAA
This 158-nucleotide ribosomal RNA is filed under the name Laccaria bicolor. RNAcentral's name for it is "5.8S ribosomal RNA". It matches the Rfam family "5.8S ribosomal RNA". From Rfam's summary of the family: 5.8S ribosomal RNA (5.8S rRNA) is a component of the large subunit of the eukaryotic ribosome. It is transcribed by RNA polymerase I as part of the 45S precursor that also contains 18S and 28S rRNA. The record is from RNAcentral. Lineage: Eukaryota; Fungi; Basidiomycota; Agaricomycetes; Agaricales; Hydnangiaceae.